ACGAGUGGCGGACGGGUGAGUAAUGUCUGGGAAACUGCCUGAUGGAGGGGGAUAACUACUGGAAACGGUAGCUAAUACCGCAUAACGUCGCAAGACCAAAGAGGGGGACCUUCGGGCCUCUUGCCAUCGGAUGUGCCCAGAUGGGAUUAGCUAGUAGGUGGGGUAACGGCUCACCUAGGCGACGAUCCCUAGCUGGUCUGAGAGGAUGACCAGCCACACUGGAACUGAGACACGGUCCAGACUCCUACGGGAGGCAGCAGUGGGGAAUAUUGCACAAUGGGCGCAAGCCUGAUGCAGCCAUGCCGCGUGUAUGAAGAAGGCCUUCGGGUUGUAAAGUACUUUCAGCGGGGAGGAAGGGAGUAAAGUUAAUACCUUUGCUCAUUGACGUUACCCGCANAAGAAGCACCGGCUAACUCCGUGCCAGCAGCCGCGGUAAUACGGAGGGUGCAAGCGUUAAUCGGAAUUACUGGGCGUAAAGCGCACGCAGGCGGUUUGUUAAGUCAGAUGUGAAAUCCCCGGGCUCAACCUGGGAACUGCAUCUGAUACUGGCAAGCUUGAGUCUCGUAGAGGGGGGUAGAAUUCCAGGUGUAGCGGUGAAAU
Molecule: ribosomal RNA, 600 nt
Filed under: Escherichia coli
Lineage: Bacteria; Pseudomonadati; Pseudomonadota; Gammaproteobacteria; Enterobacterales; Enterobacteriaceae
Description: bacterial SSU rRNA
Rfam family: Bacterial small subunit ribosomal RNA
Source: RNAcentral